CUAGCCGUAAACGAUGGAUACUAGGCGUUGCUUGUAUCGACCCGAGCAGUGCCGUAGCUAACGCGUUAAGUAUCCCGCCUGGGAAGUACGCACGCAAGUGUGAAACUCAAAGGAAUUGACGGGGGCCCGCACAAGCGGUGGAGUAUGUGGUUUAAUUCGAUGCAACGCGAAGAACCUUACCAGGGCUUGACAUGUCGCGAACCCCGGUGAAAGCUGGGGGUGCCUUCGGGAGCGCGAACACAGGUGG
Molecule: ribosomal RNA, 247 nt
Filed under: uncultured cyanobacterium
Lineage: Bacteria; Bacillati; Cyanobacteriota
Description: partial 16S ribosomal RNA
Rfam family: Bacterial small subunit ribosomal RNA
Source: RNAcentral